GUAUCAGAAGUGCGAAUGCUGACAUAAGUAACGAUAAAGCGGGUGAAAAGCCCGCUCGCCGGAAGACCAAGGGUUCCUGUCCAACGUUAAUCGGGGCAGGGUGAGUCGACCCCUAAGGCGAGGCCGAAAGGCGUAGUCGAUGGGAAACAGGUUAAUAUUCCUGUACUUGGUGUUACUGCGAAGGGGGGACGGAGAAGGCUAUGUUGGCCGGGCGACGGUUGUCCCGGUUUAAGCGUGUAGGCUGGUUUUCCAGGCAAAUCCGGAAAAUCAAGGCUGAGGCGUGAUGACGAGGCACUACGGUGCUGAAGCAACAAAUGCCCUGCUUCCAGGAAAAGCCUCUAAGCAUCAGGUAACAUCAAAUCGUACCCCAAACCGACACAGGUGGUCAGGUAGAGAAUACCAAGGCGCUUGAGAGAACUCGGGUGAAGGAACUAGGCAAAAUGGUGCCGUAACUUCGGGAGAAGG
This 465-nucleotide ribosomal RNA is filed under the name Escherichia coli. Its description in RNAcentral is "partial 23S ribosomal RNA". It matches the Rfam family "Bacterial large subunit ribosomal RNA", at positions 1279 to 1746 of the family's 2925-position model. Lineage: Bacteria; Pseudomonadati; Pseudomonadota; Gammaproteobacteria; Enterobacterales; Enterobacteriaceae. The record is from RNAcentral.